This 254-nucleotide ribosomal RNA is filed under the name uncultured bacterium. RNAcentral describes it as "partial 16S ribosomal RNA". It matches the Rfam family "Bacterial small subunit ribosomal RNA", at positions 524 to 777 of the family's 1533-position model. The record is from RNAcentral.
UACGGAGGGGGCUAGCGUUGUUCGGAAUUACUGGGCGUAAAGCGCACGUAGGCGGCUUUGCAAGUUAGAGGUGAAAGCCCGGGGCUCAACUCCGGAAUUGCCUUUAAAACUGCAUCGCUAGAAUUGUGGAGAGGUAAGUGGAAUUCCGAGUGUAGAGGUGAAAUUCGUAGAUAUUCGCAAGAACACCAGUGGCGAAGGCGGCUCACUGGCCCGGUACUGACGCUGAGGUGCGAAAGCGUGGGGAGCAAACAGGG